This 377-nucleotide long non-coding RNA is filed under the name Homo sapiens (human). RNAcentral describes it as "non-protein coding lnc-TRIM28-13:1". The record is from RNAcentral. Lineage: Eukaryota; Metazoa; Chordata; Mammalia; Primates; Hominidae.
GCUCCUUCCUUGCCCUCGCCAACUCUGGUCUCAGGCCCCGCUGCAGCUGCGGACUCGGGGCUCCCCCGACCGUGCCGUUUGGCCGCUCAGCUGAUCCCUCCGCGAGGGGGUGCGGCUAGGGGUGGGAGGAGGACACGGCAGCUGCGGUGACGGCGGGCGGGUACUGGAGGAUCGUCUUCCGCGGCAGCAGCGGCUUUAGCGCGGAGGUCGGCAACGGCCUCGGGCGCCCCGCCGCUUCGGAUAUUUCCGCCGCCUGCCCGCUUUGGCUCUUCCCGCCCGGCCUGCGUUGUGCGCCUGCGCAGCCGCCGCAAACCCGCGUUGCUCAGCGAUGGAGUUUGGGGUUCGGCCUCCUUCGGCUGGACUCGGGCAUUUCCGUU